UACGUAGGGUGCAAGCGUUAAUCGGAAUUACUUGGCGUAAAGCGUGCGCAGGCGGUCUUGCAAGACAGAUGUGAAAUCCCCGGGCUUAACCUGGGAACUGCAUUUGUGACUGCAAGGCUGGAGUGCGGCAGAGGGGGAUGGAAUUCCGCGUGUAGCAGUGAAAUGCGUAGAUAUGCGGAGGAACACCGAUGGCGAAGGCAAUCCCCUGGGCCUGCACUGACGCUCAUGCACGAAAGCGUGGGGAGCAAACAGG
RNAcentral lists this ribosomal RNA (253 nucleotides) under uncultured bacterium. Its description in RNAcentral is "partial 16S ribosomal RNA". It matches the Rfam family "Bacterial small subunit ribosomal RNA", at positions 524 to 776 of the family's 1533-position model. The record is from RNAcentral.